RNAcentral lists this ribosomal RNA (450 nucleotides) under uncultured bacterium. Its description in RNAcentral is "partial 16S ribosomal RNA". It matches the Rfam family "Bacterial small subunit ribosomal RNA", at positions 338 to 795 of the family's 1533-position model. The record is from RNAcentral.
CCUACGGGGGGCUGCAGUGGGGAAUAUUGGACAAUGGGCGCAAGCCUGAUCCAGCAAUGCCGCGUGUGUGAAGAAGGCCUGCGGGUUGUAAAGCACUUUCAGUGGGGAGGAAGGCCUCGAUAUUAAUACUAUUGAGGAUUGACGUUACCCACAGAAGAAGCACCGGCUAACUCUGUGCCAGCAGCCGCGGUAAUACAGAGGGUGCAAGCGUUAAUCAAAGUGACUGGGCGUGGAUUCUGAAGACGUAUGUGAAAGCCCCGGGCUCAACCUGGGAAGUGCAUUUGAUACUGAGUAACUUGAGUAUGGUAGAGGGAAGUGGAAUUUCCAGUGUAGCGGUGAAAUGCGUAGAUAUUGGAAGGAACAUCAGUGGCGAAGGCGACUUCCUGGACCAUUACUGACACUGAGGCACGAAAGCGUGGGGAGCGAACAGGAUUAGAUACCCUAGUAGUC